Molecule: ribosomal RNA, 207 nt
Filed under: Hypocreales sp.
Lineage: Eukaryota; Fungi; Ascomycota; Sordariomycetes; Hypocreales
Description: partial large subunit ribosomal RNA
Source: RNAcentral
AAGCGCUCAUGACCAGACUUGGGCUUGGUUGAUCAUCCAGGGUUCUCCCUGGUGCACUCUUCCAGCCCAGGCCAGCAUCAGUUCGCUGUGGGGGAUAAAGGCGUCGGGCACGUAGCUCCUCCGGGAGUGUUAUAGCCCGGCGUGCCAUGCCCCCGCCCGGACCGAGGUUCGCGCUCCGCAAGGACGCUGGCGUAAUGGUCCCCAGCG